GCUGGCGGCGUGCUUAACACAUGCAAGUCGAGCGGAAAGGCCCUUCGGGGUACUCGAGCGGCGAACGGGUGAGUAACACGUGAGGAACCUGCCCUUAGCUCUGGGAUAGCUUCGGGAAACCGGAAUUAAUACCAGAUACGACUGUUGUCGGCAUCGACAAUGGUGGAAAGAUUUAUCGGCUAGGGAUGGUCUCGCGGCCUAUCAGCUUGUUGGUGAGGUAACGGCCCACCAAGGCGACGACGGGUAGCCGGCCUGAGAGGGCGACCGGCCACACUGGGACUGAGACACGGCCCAGACUCCUACGGGAGGCAGCAGUGGGGAAUAUUGCGCAAUGGGCGAAAGCCUGACGCAGCAACGCCGCGUGGGGGAUGAAUGCCUUCGGGUUGUAAACCCCUUUCAGCAGGGACGAAGCGAAAGUGACGGUACCUGCAGAAGAAGCGCCGGCUAACUACGUGCCAGCAGCCGCGGUAAUACGUAGGGCGCAAGCGUUGUCCGGAAUUAUUGGGCGUAAAGAGCUCGUAGGUGGUUUGCUACGUCUGCUGUGAAAACCUAGGGCUUAACCCUGGGCCUGCAGUGGAUAC
Molecule: ribosomal RNA, 581 nt
Filed under: uncultured soil bacterium
Lineage: Bacteria
Description: bacterial SSU rRNA
Rfam family: Bacterial small subunit ribosomal RNA
Source: RNAcentral